AGAAAAUCUGACAUCUUCGCUUAGAAUAACACUCGUCACAAUAACACUCGCUUAGAACAAUUUGUAACAAGCCUGAGACAGAGGCAGAAAAAUUAUACCCUCAUCUAGACUAAACAUAUAUUUGAGAUACCUUCCAUGUUGCAUAAGAAAGCACAUUAGGAUAAAUUCCCAGGCUCACUGCAUUGAUGGAUGUGAGUGUUACAGGUGAGUAAGUCUCCCUCCUGUCCUCAGGAAAUCCUUUGUUUAACAUGAAGUGUUUUCGGUCUUAUGUAUAGACCUGGACACACUAACACACGCGGAUACAGGGUGGGACUGGCUAUAGUGAAUCUGGCAACAUGAACUCCACAUCUCAGGAGAGAGUAGAUGGAUUUAGUAAUGUAGUCUAAUGUGGACAUGUGCACCGCAGCAGCUCCUGGUUCAUCCUGGUUCAAAAAUAACGGAGUUAUCCCUUAUAACAUAUUAUGCGAAGGUUUGGUUUUACUUCCGCUGUUUCAUUCAUAGAGUGUUUGGUCAAGUGAAUUGGCUCGACUCUCAUAUCAAAAUUUAGCACGACUCCGAUAUGUCUAAGCAGACAUUUUUAGAGUUUAGUCGUCCUUUAAAUAAAUAACAUUUAUUAGACCAGAACGUUCGAGCGUUAUUGAUGUUUAAAUGUAAGCUAUCAUGUGGCUAUUUAAAACAUAUGUCAGCACGUGCGUGGGACCGGGCGUAAUCUUAAAACAGGUUCAAUUCUGCACAUGCGCCAAAACCAGCGCAUGCGCAGAAUCGACCAUACUUAAUGGGUACAGAUCGAGCAGGUGGUGUAACGAAGUUGGAAAACAGAACCAAACCAUGUUUGAAUCAUUGCUUCUCUUUGCUAGUACUGUGAGAAAACGUCGUUACUGAAGAGGCCUGGAUGCCAAAACAAGCUCUGAAGCUGAUUUUUUGUUGAACACGAGUGAGACUGGACGCUGAACACACCUUUGGCGCGAAGGUUUACUCUUUCAGCUGCUGCAGCCGGGACAGAAACACCAGCUCUCACGUUACAAACCAAACAGGUGUCACCACUUCGUCCACGAUCAGAGUCUUUGUACGAUGAAGAAGUUCUUUGAGACCAGGACUGAGGCUUCCAGGUUUCAGACUUUAACCAUUAAAUCACAGAGAGAAGAGACAGACAUGAAGACAUUUCCAGAAGGUCUUCAACUGCUGUCAUCUUCUCUUCUGCAGAGAUAAGAACAAGUAUUAAUCACAGAAACUGAUUAGUAAAUCUAAAUAUUUUUACGACAUACUAUUCUAUUUAAAUUUUUAAUUUUUUUUUUUUUUUUUUAGAUCUUACUAUAUACUAGGACAUGCAGCUUAAGACAUAGGAACUACCUUUGUUUUCCACACACACAUUGACACCUCUACAGUGUUUGUGGGUUAAGUUAGAUUUUGUGUUUGUCAUUUCAUUCUGGUAUUUUGCUAUUUUAAACAAUGCAAUGUCAGUACUCAAAUCCAGUGUAUUACUGUGUACAUAGUCCUGUUUAUACUUUUCAUAUUGUUUAUAAUUUUUAUAUAUAUUGUCUUGUUAAUUUAAUACCCUUUUCUAUUUUUGUUGUUGCAACACUGAAUUUCCUUGCUGUGGGACUGAUAAAGGAUCUUACUCAAAUAAAUACUUAAUACUAAACACUGAAUAGUUUGCUGGUCUGUUUAAUAUUGUAUGAGCGUGAAUAUUUUUAGCCAGAGGUUAGAAUUUUAGCCUCAAUACAUUUUAAUUGCAAGCUGCAAGUAGAGAAUGUUU
Lates calcarifer (barramundi perch) is the source of this 1756-nucleotide long non-coding RNA. RefSeq lists it as uncharacterized. The transcript has 5 exons. Lineage: Eukaryota; Metazoa; Chordata; Actinopteri; Centropomidae. The record is from RefSeq and is a predicted model, not a curated record.